UACGAAGGGUGCAAACGUUGCUCGGAUUUAUUGGGCGUAAAGAGCUCGUAGGCGGCUUAGAAAGUCAGGUGUGAAAACUCUGGGCUUAACCCAGAGACGCCACUUGAUACUUCUAUGGCUUGAGUUCGGUAGGGGACCAUGGAAUUCCUGGUGUAGCGGUGAAAUGCGCAGAUAUCAGGAGGAACACCGAUGGCGAAGGCAGUGGUCUGGGCCGAUACUGACGCUGAGGAGCGAAAGCGUGGGGAGCGAACAGG
Molecule: ribosomal RNA, 254 nt
Filed under: uncultured bacterium
Lineage: Bacteria
Description: partial 16S ribosomal RNA
Rfam family: Bacterial small subunit ribosomal RNA
Source: RNAcentral